This 867-nucleotide ribosomal RNA is filed under the name Halobacterium salinarum. RNAcentral's name for it is "bacterial SSU rRNA". It matches the Rfam family "Archaeal small subunit ribosomal RNA", at positions 16 to 885 of the family's 1478-position model. The record is from RNAcentral. Lineage: Archaea; Methanobacteriati; Methanobacteriota; Halobacteria; Halobacteriales; Halobacteriaceae.
GCCGGAGGCCAUUGCUAUCGGAGUCCGAUUUAGCCAUGCUAGUUGUGCGGGUUUAGACCCGCAGCGGAAAGCUCAGUAACACGUGGCCAAGCUACCCUGUGGACGGGAAUACUCUCGGGAAACUGAGGCUAAUCCCCGAUAACGCUUUGCUCCUGGAAGGGGCAAAGCCGGAAACGCUCCGGCGCCACAGGAUGCGGCUGCGGUCGAUUAGGUAGACGGUGGGGUAACGGCCCACCGUGCCCAUAAUCGGUACGGGUUGUGAGAGCAAGAGCCCGGAGACGGAAUCUGAGACAAGAUUCCGGGCCCUACGGGGCGCAGCAGGCGCGAAACCUUUACACUGUACGAAAGUGCGAUAAGGGGACUCCGAGUGUGAAGGCAUAGAGCCUUCACUUUUGUACACCGUAAGGUGGUGCACGAAUAAGGACUGGGCAAGACCGGUGCCAGCCGCCGCGGUAAUACCGGCAGUCCGAGUGAUGGCCGAUCUUAUUGGGCCUAAAGCGUCCGUAGCUGGCUGAACAAGUCCGUUGGGAAAUCUGUCCGCUUAACGGGCAGGCGUCCAGCGGAAACUGUUCAGCUUGGGACCGGAAGACCUGAGGGGUACGUCUGGGGUAGGAGUGAAAUCCUGUAAUCCUGGACGGACCGCCGGUGGCGAAAGCGCCUCAGGAGAACGGAUCCGACAGUGAGGGACGAAAGCUAGGGUCUCGAACCGGAUUAGAUACCCGGGUAGUCCUAGCUGUAAACGAUGUCCGCUAGGUGUGGCGCAGGCUACGAGCCUGCGCUGUGCCGUAGGGAAGCCGAGAAGCGGACCGCCUGGGAAGUACGUCUGCAAGGAUGAAACUUAAAGGAAUGGCGGGGGAGCACUACAUC